AUUUAUCAAUAAAAAGUGAGCAUUUAAUUUGGAAUGGUCUGAAAUCAAAUAUUUAUACAGAGAAUUUUAUAUAUUUAUAGAAGCAGUGCAUCGCAUCUUUGACAAUCGGACGUUAUCAACAAGCGACCAACAAUUGAAACCAUUGACAACGUCAAUAGUUAUUGCUGAUCGUAAAGGGGAAAAAAUGUGUUCCAAAAUAACCUGUGAAAAAUGCAACAAGCCAACAUGGUCUGGUUGUGGAAAACAUAUUGAACAGGCUUUGAAGGAUGUUCCACCAGAAGAAAGAUGUAAAUGCCCAAGAGAGUCAAAAUAAUGGUUUCUGGCGGAAUAAGGUUGACUGUUAGAGAACUGAAAGCAAGAUAUAGUUAACUUAUAUAUAAAUCUAUGUUUUUCACUGUUAUAGGAAUUUUAAAUAAACAUAAUGCGUUCUUAAUAAUAUUGUUGUUUAUCAA
Molecule: long non-coding RNA, 452 nt
Organism: Mytilus trossulus (common blue mussel)
Lineage: Eukaryota; Metazoa; Mollusca; Bivalvia; Mytilida; Mytilidae
Exons: 3
Source: RefSeq, a predicted model, not a curated record